This 429-nucleotide ribosomal RNA is filed under the name Pseudomonadota bacterium. RNAcentral describes it as "Proteobacteria bacterium partial 16S ribosomal RNA". It matches the Rfam family "Bacterial small subunit ribosomal RNA", at positions 355 to 776 of the family's 1533-position model. The record is from RNAcentral. Lineage: Bacteria; Pseudomonadati; Pseudomonadota.
UGGGGAAUAUUGGACAAUGGGCGAAAGCCUGAUCCAGCCAUGCCGCGUGUGUGAAGAAGGUCUUCGGAUUGUAAAGCACUUUAAGUUGGGAGGAAGGGCAGUAAGCGAAUACCUUGCUGUUUUGACGUUACCGACAGAAUAAGCACCGGCUAACUCUGUGCCAGCAGCCGCGGUAAUACAGAGGGUGCAAGCGUUAAUCGGAUUUACUGGGCGUAAAGCGUGCGUAGGCGGCUGAUUAAGUCGGAUGUGAAAUCCCUGAGCUUAACUUAGGAAUUGCAUUCGAUACUGGUCAGCUAGAGUAUGGGAGAGGAUGGUAGAAUUCCAGGUGUAGCGGUGAAAUGCGUAGAGAUCUGGAGGAAUACCGAUGGCGAAGGCAGCCAUCUGGCCUAAUACUGACGCUGAGGUACGAAAGCAUGGGGAGCAAACAGG